RNAcentral lists this ribosomal RNA (776 nucleotides) under uncultured bacterium. Its description in RNAcentral is "bacterial SSU rRNA". It matches the Rfam family "Bacterial small subunit ribosomal RNA", at positions 8 to 785 of the family's 1533-position model. The record is from RNAcentral.
AGAGUUUGAUCCUGGCUCAGAACGAACGCUGGCGGCGUGCUUAACACAUGCAAGUCGAGUGCGCGUACCGUAGCAAUACGGUAUGGCGCACGGCGCACGGGUGCGUAACACGUGGGCAAUCUGCCCUUCGAUGGGGAAUAUCUUCGGGAAACCGAAGCGAAUUCCGCAUAACAUUCCUUGGACUUCGGUUCGAGGACUCAAAGCCGUAAGGCGUCGAAGGAGGAGCCCGCGCACGAUUAGCUAGUUGGUAGGGUAACGGCCUACCAAGGCUUUGAUCGUUAGCUGGUCUGAGAGGAUGGCCAGCCACACUGGAACUGAGACACGGUCCAGACUCCUACGGGAGGCAGCAGUGGGGAAUCUUGCACAAUGGGCGAAAGCCUGAUGCAGCGACGCCGCGUGGGGGAUGAAGCAUCUCGGUGUGUAAACCCCUUUCGACCCGGAAGAAUGCCUCGCAAGAGGACUGACGGUACGGGUAUAAGAAGCCCCGGCUAACUACGUGCCAGCAGCCGCGGUAAGACGUAGGGGGCCAGCGUUGUUCGGAAUUACUGGGUGUAAAGGGUUCGUAGGCGGUGCGGCAAGUUGGGAGUGAAAUCUCUGGGCUCAACCCAGAGGCUGCUUCCAAAACUGCUGUGCUGGAGUGUGGGAGAGGCGCGUGGAAUUGCAGGUGUAGCGGUGAAAUGCGUAGAUAUCUGCAGGAACACCCGUGGCGAAAGCGGCGCGCUGGACCACAACUGACGCUAGGAACGAAAGCUAGGGGAGCAAACAGGAUUAGAUAC